This 253-nucleotide ribosomal RNA is filed under the name uncultured bacterium. RNAcentral's name for it is "partial 16S ribosomal RNA". It matches the Rfam family "Bacterial small subunit ribosomal RNA", at positions 524 to 776 of the family's 1533-position model. The record is from RNAcentral.
UACGAAGGGGGCUAGCGUUGUUCGGAUUUACUGGGCGUAAAGCGCACGUAGGCGGAUUGUUAAGUGAGGGGUGAAAUCCUGGAGCUCAACUCCAGAACUGCCUUUCAUACUGGCAAUCUAGAGUCCGGAAGAGGUAAGUGGAACUCCUAGUGUAGAGGUGGAAUUCGUAGAUAUUAGGAAGAACACCAGUGGCGAAGGCGGCUCACUGGUCCGGUACUGACGCUGAGGUGCGAAAGCGUGGGGAGCAAACAGG